Molecule: ribosomal RNA, 753 nt
Filed under: uncultured Rhodocyclaceae bacterium
Lineage: Bacteria; Pseudomonadati; Pseudomonadota; Betaproteobacteria; Rhodocyclales; Rhodocyclaceae
Description: bacterial SSU rRNA
Rfam family: Bacterial small subunit ribosomal RNA
Source: RNAcentral
AUUGAACGCUGGCGGCAUGCUUUACACAUGCAAGUCGAACGGUAACAGGGUGCUUGCACCGCUGACGAGUGGCGAACGGGUGAGUAAUGCAUCGGAACGUACCCAGUCGUGGGGGAUAACGUAGCGAAAGUUACGCUAAUACCGCAUACGUCCUGAGGGAGAAAGCGGGGGACCGUAAGGCCUCGCGCGAUUGGAGCGGCCGAUGUCGGAUUAGCUAGUUGGUAGGGUAAAGGCCUACCAAGGCGACGAUCCGUAGCGGGUCUGAGAGGAUGAUCCGCCACACUGGGACUGAGACACGGCCCAGACUCCUACGGGAGGCAGCAGUGGGGAAUUUUGGACAAUGGGCGAAAGCCUGAUCCAGCCAUGCCGCGUGAGUGAAGAAGGCCUUCGGGUUGUAAAGCUCUUUCAGAUGGAAAGAAAACGUACAGGUUAAUACCUUGUGCGGAUGACGGUACCAUCAGAAGAAGCACCGGCUAACUACGUGCCAGCAGCCGCGGUAAUACGUAGGGUGCGAGCGUUAAUCGGAAUUACUGGGCGUAAAGCGUGCGCAGGCGGUUAUGUAAGACAGAUGUGAAAUCCCCGGGCUCAACCUGGGAACUGCGUUUGUGACUGCAUAACUAGAGUACGGCAGAGGGAGGUGGAAUUCCGCGUGUAGCAGUGAAAUGCGUAGAGAUGCGGAGGAACACCGAUGGCGAAGGCAGCCUCCUGGGCCAGUACUGACGCUCAUGCACGAAAGCGUGGGGAGCAAACAGG